This 340-nucleotide ribosomal RNA is filed under the name uncultured bacterium. RNAcentral's name for it is "bacterial SSU rRNA". It matches the Rfam family "Bacterial small subunit ribosomal RNA", at positions 1166 to 1505 of the family's 1533-position model. The record is from RNAcentral.
GAGGAAGGUGGGGAUGACGUCAAGUCCUCAUGGCCUUUAUGUCCAGGGCUACACACGUGCUACAAUGGCCGGUACAAACCGCUGCAAACCCGCGAGGGUGAGCCAAUCGGAUAAAGCCGGCCUCAGUUCGGAUUGUAGUCUGCAACUCGACUACAUGAAGCUGGAAUCGCUAGUAAUCGCGGAUCAGCAUGCCGCGGUGAAUACGUUCCCGGGCCUUGUACACACCGCCCGUCACAUCACGAAAGUGGGUUGUACUAGAAGCAGGUGAGCUAACCGCAAGGAAGCAGCCUUCCAAGGUGUGAUUCAUGAUUGGGGUGAAGUCGUAACAAGGUAGCCGUAA